UUGCAAUAAAAAGGAAAAAUUAUUUAACCAACAACUCGACAUGGUCUGCUCUGGAAAUCUCCAGUGUUUACGUUGCGAAAACAAUUGAAAUCAUAACAAUAAAAUCAAAUUUGAAAUUUGUGAGAGGUAAGAGGUA
This is a non-coding RNA of Drosophila ananassae, 136 nucleotides long. The record is from Rfam. NCBI's taxonomy places the organism in Eukaryota, Metazoa, Arthropoda, Insecta, Diptera, Drosophilidae.